GCGCGAAACCACGUUCUUUGGAGUGGUACUCCAGUGCUCUACCCACUACACCACUCUAUAUUGCUAUUUUACUGUGUUUUGUUCAACGGCUUUAAAUUAAUACUAGCAGUUAAAAUUAUGAAAAUGUAAAGUCCUUGUCUUCCUCAUCUAUCCUGUGGACAGAUAAUUUAGACAUCUCACAGACGUCAUGUUACGUCUGUCUGUUAAGCGUCUAAUUUCUAGACACAAAUGGAUGUCCGUGAUCGUAUGAGAAACGUAGAUCCAUAGGACAUCUAUACGAAGAUAGCAUAAGGCCGUAGUAAAUUGAGUAUCCAUGUGAUAUCCAAUUUAGGUUGCAGAUAGAUCAGAUUUGAUUUAGACAUUAAGACAUCUAUAUGAUAGACGAUGGAUGUAAGUGUGCUACCAGGGGGAAAGGUGGCAAAAAAAGAAAAAGGAGCAAUUGGCCACUGGUCAUGUCUUCCCCCUCUCCCCCCGCCAAAAAAAACAAAACAUGAAUAAAAUCAGACAGGCUGUCUGGAAUUUUCAUGGCACGAGAAAAUUCAAUAAGGCUACCUACUUAAAAGCUCAUUGCAGAUUAUUGGACUAGUGAAUAAAGGCAAUUCCUUUGAAUUUGGGGGGUUCUUUCUCCCCACCUUUUGCUUCGUUCCAAAAGAGGCUUAAAGUCUGCGGUGAAUAGAAACAAGAUAAGUAAAUGAAGAGACGUGGAGGUAGACGAUGAAUAAGACGACAAGAAAACAAUGCAGGAACCAAGGAAGAAGAGGUAGUUGAGACAACCUGUAAAAUACCCUCCUUUAAGGAUUCAAGAGCUGUUUUUUCCCAUCUCUCAAGUAUUCACGACGGAGAACUGAUGAAAAAUCUCUCGCAAUCUAUUCCCGUGCAAUCAAAACUCCGACUACUACGAGGCGGGUCUCGUUCAGUAACCUGCGACUUGUGUUACAGAAUGGAAUAUUCUGAUGGAAGUUCUUAAAUCAGAAUCAAACAAGCAAAUAAUCACAAAAGUGGAAGUGACCUAGCCAAAAUUGUGAAACGCAUUAUGAGGGGAGUCGUGACAGACGAAUUUGAUGCUAGUUAUGUUGGAUGGAUGGGACAGCAUGGCAAAUAUACUGUGUUUAGAACAAAAAGCUUCUUAACCUAAUUUUUUAUAAUAAAUUAGUUUACACGUGUGUAUGCUUUCAUAAAAUCAUUUAAUAUCGAUUUAGCUUAGGUGGAUCAAUCUCUGCUGUAGCCGUAUGCCACGAGAAAGCAAGUUGAAGGAGAUACUAUGAACUAUAUCAAUCGAUUUAAUUUAAUCAACGUUUCAAUAGAGAGGAGACUCAAGCUGCUAGAUAGAAGUGACGAGGUAGACAGGGAAAAGACCGGCAAUCAUUUCAUUAAUCAUGGCAAUCCCGCAUGUCUGGAAGAUCGUAAAACAUUGCAUGUUAAUCAUUCAUUUGUUUUACCUAUUUGUUUUCGUCGUUGUGUCUUCUUCAUGUUCACAAUGCCUUGUGUUAUCCUUAAAAAGAAAUAUGUCAUGUGUUCUAGUGGUCCAUUAUGGGCAAGUUUAUUACACUUUACGGAUUAUUUAUUUAAAAUUUUAACGGCAAGUAGCAAAGAAAAACAUAAUAGCUUUAUAUUAAUUCAUAUUUAAUUCACUGCCAAUGAACCAAAUUGACCCCGUUCAAGAACUUGUAAGUUUUUUUGUUCAAUUUUGUUCGUGAAAUCUUCAUGCAAUGAGGACGUAAAUAGGGAGGAAAUUAUACCCUCCCUGUGAGUGAACAUUGUUCAUGUCUGUUCUCUUUGUUCACUGUCUGUUCAUAAACUGUGCGAAAUUUUGUUAGGCGGGUAAAUACCAAACUCGUAAGGAAUGCUAUCCAUACAAAGUCACUUGAUUUUGUUCGUUGCUGAAACGGUAGACUUAUUUUCAAGGACGAGAAUUCGUGCUGGAAGGCUUGGCGAAGGUUUACAAAAAUCUCUUAAUCCCUCGCGUUAACCUAGUUCCUGCUAGUAUUACGGAAGAAUUUUGGUUCUUGCUAAUUGAUGCAAAAUGGUCAAUUUCUUCUAAAAUAUCCAUUUGGAGUUAAAAUUCUGCCAUCGGGUGAAAUGAUAACACUGAUAAAAAUUGAAAAAUGUUGUAAAAAACCUGACAGAGCCUUUGACAAAAGAAAAUAAAAGUUAAAUUUGAGCGGUAAAUGUCUUAAGUUACAGAAAGAAAAAAGCAAGGUCGGCAUAUUCUCUGCCUUUUACAUUUUUUUGCUUGAAAGUGAGCAAAAUAUUUGGCAAAAUAAGUUGGAAAAAACGACUAUAUUUUGGUGUAGAACCAAGCUCUAUUGUCGCUAGGAAAAGUGAAAAAAAGACUUUCUUCUAGUUUAGGGGGGGGGGGGAAUUUCGUGCGGCAGCCGCUGUUGGGAUU
Long non-coding RNA from Daphnia pulex (common water flea), 2389 nucleotides. RefSeq lists it as uncharacterized. The transcript is spliced from 4 exons. The record is from RefSeq and is a predicted model, not a curated record. Lineage: Eukaryota; Metazoa; Arthropoda; Branchiopoda; Diplostraca; Daphniidae.